AGCCUUGAAGUGUUAUUUAGAUUGCAAAUCUAUAAAAGCAGGUUAAUUACCGGCCGGGGCUU
RNAcentral lists this transfer RNA (62 nucleotides) under Neofundulus paraguayensis. RNAcentral's name for it is "tRNA-Cys". Lineage: Eukaryota; Metazoa; Chordata; Actinopteri; Cyprinodontiformes; Rivulidae. The record is from RNAcentral.